AUAUGGGGGGACCAUCCUCCAAGGCUAAAUACUCCUGACUGACCGAUAGUGAACCAGUACCGUGAGGGAAAGGCGAAAAGAACCCCGGCGAGGGGAGUGAAAAAGAACCUGAAACCGUGUACGUACAAGCAGUGGGAGCACAGAGCAAUCUGUGUGACUGCGUACCUUUUGUAUAAUGGGUCAGCGACUUAUAUUCUGUAGCAAGGUUAACCGAAUAGGGGAGCCGAAGGGAAACCGAGUCUUAACUGGGCGUUAAGUUGCAGGGUAUAGACCCGAAACCCGGUGAUCUAGCCAUGGGCAGGUUGAAGGUUGGGUAACACUAACUGGAGGACCGAACCGACUAAUGUUGAAAAAUUAGCGGAUGACUUGUGGCUGGGGGUGAAAGGCCAAUCAAACCGGGAGAUAGCUGGUUCUCCCCGAAAGCUAUUUAGGUAGCGCCUCGUGAAUUCAUCUCCGGGGGUAGAGCACUGUUUCGGCAAGGGGGUCAUCCCGA
This 493-nucleotide ribosomal RNA is filed under the name Escherichia coli. RNAcentral's name for it is "partial 23S ribosomal RNA". It matches the Rfam family "Bacterial large subunit ribosomal RNA", at positions 442 to 934 of the family's 2925-position model. The record is from RNAcentral. Lineage: Bacteria; Pseudomonadati; Pseudomonadota; Gammaproteobacteria; Enterobacterales; Enterobacteriaceae.